UUUUUUUUUUUUUAGAGAUUUGUAUUUAUUUAUUCAUGAGAGACACAGAGAGAGGGGCAGAGACAUAAGCAGAGGGAGAAACUCCCCUAUUGGGAGCCUGAUGGGAACUCCAUCCCAGGACCCUGGGAUCACGACUUGAGCCAAAGGCAGACAGUCAACCACUGAGCCACCCCAGAUGCCCCAUCACUUCUAUGUUUAAAUAUUCCAGUAUACUUCCUGUUGCUUAUGGGAUAAAGCCCAAAAUCACUUGGUAUGGUAUCCCUCUCUUUCCAACCUCAUCACCCAUCUUACUCAACAUAUGAAAGUUCUAGGAAUAACCCCCAACACAUGUAGUAACUGUAUAAUUUGUGCCUCUAUCAGAGAUUCUUGAUGCAGUUAAGAAUUUGUUAUGCUAUACAAUACACUAGGGAGCCUACAGAUUGAUUUCUGAAGUUCCCUAAACCUGCUGAAAUGAAUCUUACUCAUUUUGAGUAUAAAAUAUAUUAGAGCAUUUUUCAAGGGGAUAAGCUCCACAUCUUCUGCAAGAUUUUUAAGUGGGUCUUUUACAAUCUUAUGGUUAAGAACCAUGGUAAAUCUAUGAAAAGCCUGGGCACUAGAUAAUCAAAUUUAAUGAAAUAAUAUAUAAAAUAAGAAUGGAUGAUAGUGUUUUAGUCAGAUCAUCAAGUACAGAACCUCAUAAGAUGUAAACACUGAGGUCCAGGGAAUUAUAAGAACUCGCCUGGGAUUAUUUACACACAGAAUAACACAAUUUAGAUUUAAUUGUGCAUUACCUUCUCUGCUGUUUACUGUUUCAUAUGUUAAUGUUGCUUUUUUUCCAACCACAAUACAACGGAAGCUCUUUGAAAGCUGGAGCCUUGCCUUGGGGUGAUGAUGAUGAUGAUAAAGAUAAUUUAGAGGAAACUGAUUAAAUAAAAUGAUUAAUGGCAUAGGCUAAUUGUUAUUAAGCAUCAAACCAAGAUACAGGAAAUAUAUACUGUUACAUAUUGCUACUUCUUACAUAUUUAGAGCACUCAAUCUACUGCUUAAAAAUCCUGGAUAAUGAGAAUUUACUUAUUUUAAUUAAGUACAUUCAAUAAAUCAGGCAAUUUCCAAGUAAAUGAGAGAUUUUUUAAAUGAAAUACUUUUAAAAUGAUGGAACCACGGAUUUGCAGAUCUGAGAACACUUGCUUUUCAUGUUACCCAGUUGUUUAUGGAAUGAUUAAAGAAACAAAUAGCCACUUAGCUGAGAUAUCUUUUAUUAGGCUAUGGGAAGCAGAGGAACUUGCUUUACAUUUUUGUUUAACCUUUACCAGAUAUUUCAAAUCCUCUCAUUGUCCGUUUUACUGAUUUAUAAAAGGGUUUAGGAGUGGUUUUAUUUUGUUAGAGAACUAAAGUGCCCUCUUCUGUUUCUUCUCUGUCAUUACAACCAAAUAUCAGUUAAGAUCCUUAAUUUAAUAGGAAAGUUGUCCUGAUAGAAUUAAAGCAAUAAAUUCAUUCUGAUAAAACUAAAUUAAGACUAUGUAUUCUAAUUAUUAAAAAGGAAAUUAUAAUUGACUAAGCAUUUUUGAAGCACUUACACAUUUGAUAAUUUGAUCUGCAAAUAAAAUCCCAAAUAUUUGCCUUAAUCAUGUUGUCACUUAUGUUUUAAUCUUAAAAAUGCAAAUUCUACUUUAUAAAGGACACUUUCAACUUUUGGCAUUGGCUUUAAUUCAUUUUAGAUAGCCAAAACUUUUUACUAUAUUGACUAACACCUUUUUUUAAAAAGGUGAGUCAAAUAGAUAUAUUUCCAAUUUAAAUGUUCAGAAGCACAACAUAAUUGAGGGCCAAUCAUGAUUUUAUUAAUGUAAUUAACUAAAUUUACCACUGAUAAAAGAAUCUCCAUCUUGUUAAGAUGCCAUGUGAUUAAUAUCCUAAAUAACUUAAAAAUAUAACUUCUUUAGCUUGUUGCAAACUUAAAUUUUGAUUAAUAAUUAUGCAUACUAGCUCCCUUCACUGAAAGAUCUCGUUAGGUCAGAUUCAUUUUAACAGCUGUUACUAAUAACAUCAUUAAAUAAUAAAUAAAUGUUAUCUUCAAGUCUUAAUAUUUCAGUUAUCUACAUGCUGAGAGGCUUAGGACCUGUAGAGAACGUUCUUUUUAUGAGUUCAUAAAUCUAAUUAUUUCAGAAACAUUUCUUUCUUUCUUCCUGUCUUUUUCAUAGGACUAUUCCAUCACUGCCACAGUUUUAAAAAUUUUCUAGCUGUUGGUAGCUAUUCAGUUCUUGCACAAAGACACAAAUCCUGGCUGCCGGCCUUUUGGCAUCUGUUAAUAUUUUCAUAGACCUCAAUUGAACUUUCAGUCUGUUCUUGGAAUUUCAGAGGCUGACAAUAGAAACCACUUCUAUUUGUCUUUUAACCCUUUGCUUUUAAAUCCUUUCCAUAAUCCACUUGAAAGUACUGUACUAGCUGGUUUUUGGAGAGAGAGGGGGAAAAGAAGAAAAUCUAUGUUCCAUAAUGUUUGAGUCUCCCUUCUUUUUUCAUCCAGAGAAAAGCAAAUUAAGCAAACAUUCAAACUGGGGACAAUAUGGUGCUUAUAACUAAGAUUAAUAUUGGAUGAGCUUCAAACUUAGAACACAGUCAUUUGAGCCUCUCCUGGGUGCCAGAAUUAGUCAGCAGAAGCAGCCGUAAAAGCACAUACAAAAAAGGGAAAAUGGCUUAACAGUGUGGAGCUGAAGCAAGCAGGUCCUGCCAAAGAGUAGUGAGCUCAUACUUAACAAACUACAGAACUAGAAGUUUGCCAUAAUACACAGCUUCUUCUUGGGUCCAUCAGCUAGGCACUCCUACCUUUUCUGAAGCUGCAGGAAGAAUAGCUUUCAGUUUCCCUUGCUCACCCUCACUGACUCUGACUCCAAGGGAAGAGGCAUGGCCUGUCUGGUUGAUGACUGUUCUGUCCUGCUUCUCAAACGUCAGCAGGUCUGGAUCAGAGCUAAGACCAUCUCAAGGUAGGUGGAAGGCCAGUCUCCACAGCAGCAGUUUUAGGUGAAAGGGCCUCCUUUGCCCUCAUAGCCCUUGCUCUCAGGUAGAUUGUCCCCCUACCCAGGCCCUGGGCUAGGGCAACCUAUCGAGGACAUGCUGACAUAAGCUGUAGUCUCUAAUUCAAUGCCACUGGUAAUAAAAAUGUUAGGUGGACACUUGGAAAGUGAUGAAAAGCGAAUUUAUUAUGAUACAGUUUGUUUCUGAUGUAUUUUCCCCUGGGCUCAGAGAACAGUUGUAUUGUCAGCCACUGAGCCUGUAGGUUACAGACUUGGGCAAUGAGCUUUUUUAGCACAUCCACAUUGCAAAUCCUCUCAGCCAAUGAGGUUUUUGUUUUUACCACUCUAUACUCAAUGUGUGCUUCUACAAUGUGUGCCAUUUAAUUAGUUGUGGGUCAUCUUUCUGACAUUUGUGCUCUGGCAAACGUUUAGAAUUAUAAUGUCUGACAAGUGUGUGAAGGUAGAAAUGUGCAACCAAUUGCAAAUAACAGAAGCUUACCAUGAUGCAAAUUAAAAUUGAGCUUUAUAGCCUUAAAAGGAAUGUUUGCAGGAACACAGGAUAAAAAUAAGCAACAAUUUGGAAUUGGUGGAAGUUCUUUAAAAUCCUGUGGAUCAUUAUAAACUUUAUGGCAGCCCAGAAAGAUCGACUGAAAAUCAUGUCAAUAGGAGGUAGAAGAACAUGUGUACACUUUCAUAGGAUUUGAAGAGGAGAACAAGUGUUGGAUGCCAGAGGCAGCCUAUAUGUUUAGAAACUAAAAAAAAAAAAAA
Molecule: long non-coding RNA, 3755 nt
Filed under: Canis lupus familiaris (dog)
Lineage: Eukaryota; Metazoa; Chordata; Mammalia; Carnivora; Canidae
Description: lncRNA (ENSCAFG00000052360.1, ENSCAFG00845010228.1)
Source: RNAcentral